This 73-nucleotide transfer RNA is filed under the name Ornithorhynchus anatinus (platypus). It matches the Rfam family "tRNA". From Rfam's summary of the family: Transfer RNA (tRNA) molecules are approximately 80 nucleotides in length. Lineage: Eukaryota; Metazoa; Chordata; Mammalia; Monotremata; Ornithorhynchidae. The record is from Rfam by way of RNAcentral.
AGCAGCGUGGCCUAAUGGAAAGAGCAGCGGCCUGGGAGUCAGAAGGACCCGGGUUCUAAUCCCGGCUCUGCCG